CCCAGCACAAGAAGGACAUGGACCUGUUGGAUUGAGUCCAAGGGAGGCCACCAAGAUGUUUAGAGGGAUGGAGCACCUCUCCUGUGAGGAAAGACUGAGAGAGUUGGGGUUGUUCAGCCUGGAAAAGAGAAGGCUUCAG
This is a long non-coding RNA of Neopelma chrysocephalum (saffron-crested tyrant-manakin), 139 nucleotides long. RefSeq lists it as uncharacterized. The record is from RefSeq and is a predicted model, not a curated record. Lineage: Eukaryota; Metazoa; Chordata; Aves; Passeriformes; Pipridae. The transcript has 3 exons.